This 318-nucleotide ribosomal RNA is filed under the name uncultured eukaryote. RNAcentral's name for it is "partial 18S ribosomal RNA". It matches the Rfam family "Eukaryotic small subunit ribosomal RNA", at positions 1470 to 1796 of the family's 1831-position model. The record is from RNAcentral.
CCCUCAGAUGUUCUGGGCUGCACGCGCGCUACACUGAAGUGUCAUAGCAAGUUUACCUACUCUUGACGGAGGGGGUAAUCUCGAAUACACUUCGUGAUGGGGAUAGAUCAUUGCAAUUUUUGAUCUUGAACGAGGAAUUCCUAGUAAGCGCAAGUCAUCAACUUGCGCUGAUUACGUCACUGCUUUUUGUACACACCGCCCGUCGCUCCUACCGAUUGAAUGGUCCGGUGAAAUCUCGGGACGGCGGCUUGGUCGCUUGCGUCCGACUGCUGAAACUUGAUUAAACCAUAUCAUUUAGAGGAAGGUGAANUCGUANCA